UACGGAGGGUGCGAGCGUUGUCCGGAAUCACUGGGCGUAAAGGGCGCGUAGGCGGCCUGAUAAGUAGGGGGUGAAAUCCUGCGGCUUAACCGCAGUGCUGCCUUCUAAACUGUCAGGCUAGAGCACAGUAGAGGCAGGUGGAAUUCCCGGUGUAGCGGUGGAAUGCGUAGAGAUCCGGAAGAACACCGGUGGCGAAGGCGGUUAGCUGGGCAGUUGCUGACACUGAGGCGCGACAGCGUGGGGAGCAAACAGG
This 253-nucleotide ribosomal RNA is filed under the name uncultured bacterium. RNAcentral describes it as "partial 16S ribosomal RNA". It matches the Rfam family "Bacterial small subunit ribosomal RNA", at positions 524 to 776 of the family's 1533-position model. The record is from RNAcentral.